Molecule: ribosomal RNA, 253 nt
Filed under: uncultured bacterium
Lineage: Bacteria
Description: partial 16S ribosomal RNA
Rfam family: Bacterial small subunit ribosomal RNA
Source: RNAcentral
UACGAAGGUGGCAAGCGUUACUCGGAAUUACUAGGCGUAAAGGGCAGGUAGGUUGUUUGGUUAGUCUGUUGUGAAAGCUCCUUGCUUAACGGGGAGAGGUCAACAGAUACUGCCAGACUUGAGUAUGGGAGAGGGUACUGGAAUUCCCGGUGUAGCGGUGAAAUGCGCAGAGAUCGGGAGGAACACCAAUGGCGAAGGCGGGUCUCUGGACAGUUCCUGACACUGAGGCACGAAGGCCAGGGGAGCAAACGGG